This 379-nucleotide long non-coding RNA is filed under the name Xyrichtys novacula (pearly razorfish). The record is from RNAcentral. Lineage: Eukaryota; Metazoa; Chordata; Actinopteri; Labriformes; Labridae.
GUUCCGAUUUUAAUGCCAUUUUUGGAGUUUAUGUUGUGAUCUGUGCGCUCAACCCACCUUUGUCACGUGAGGUUUGAAUAUGAGCAACUUUAUGUGAGUGUCUUUAUUUGUGGAAACGGGUGUUUGUCUUACCAGUGGGUCCAACAUUACGCACACUAAAUCCAUCUGUGCUCAUAUGAGAGAGUGUGGAGGACACUUGUUGAGGAGCUGCCCUCUGUCGCCAUCUUGUGGCAUUACUGUCUUAAGACAUCUCUUGAUCUCUUUGACUACUCCAUGAAAAUAGUAAUACGCCUCGCCUGUGGCGGAUUUAAAGGCAAGGAGAGGAGCCUAUGUGAUUGGUGAAAACAGGUCUCGGCUGUGUUAAACCAACUACACGCCC